RNAcentral lists this ribosomal RNA (492 nucleotides) under uncultured bacterium. RNAcentral's name for it is "partial 16S ribosomal RNA". It matches the Rfam family "Bacterial small subunit ribosomal RNA", at positions 29 to 507 of the family's 1533-position model. The record is from RNAcentral.
AGUGAACGCUGGCGGUAGGCCUAACACAUGCAAGUCGAACGGCAGCACAGUAAGAGCUUGCUCUUACGGGUGGCGAGUGGCGGACGGGUGAGGAAUACAUCGGAAUCUACUUUUUCGUGGGGGAUAACGUAGGGAAACUUACGCUAAUACCGCAUACGACCUCCGGGUGAAAGCAGGGGAUCUUCGGACCUUGCGCGAUUGAAUGAGCCGAUGUCGGAUUAGCUAGUUGGCGGGGGAAAGGCCCACCAAGGCGACGAUCCGUAGCUGGUCUGAGAGGAUGAUCGGCCACAUUGGAAGGGAGACACGGACCAUACUCCUACGGGAGGCAGCAGUGGGGAAUAUUGGACAAUGGGCGCAAGCCUGAUCCAGCCAUACCGCGUGGGUGAAGAAGGCCUUCGGGUUGUAAAGCCCUUUUGUUGGGAGAGAAAAGCAGCAGGUUAAUACCCCGCUGUUCUGACGGUACCCAAAGAAUAAGCACCGGCUAACUUCGUG